AUCAGACUCGUUACAAGGUUGUUCUAACAAGUCUGAUACAGUCAUGAUAUAACAAGAAUGUUACAAGGUUGACGACACAAGGUUGUAACAAUAUUGUUAUAUCAUGACUGUAUCGGACUUGUUGGAACAACCUUGCAACAAUUAGUCUGAU
Non-coding RNA from Paramuricea clavata, 151 nucleotides. NCBI's taxonomy places the organism in Eukaryota, Metazoa, Cnidaria, Anthozoa, Malacalcyonacea, Plexauridae. The record is from the annotation of a GenBank genome assembly.